CGUCCUACGUCCUAUAAGUCCAUGACAAGUGGAACCAUAAAGUGUUUUCCUUUGUCUGCCUUAGAAACAUAAUCAAGCAAAUGUAGAAAGAAUCACCUAUCUUUUUGGAGAGUUUCUCCGAAGUUUGAUUAACAACAGUUAGGCGAUACUUUGUGUGUCUUUUCCAUCCAUCAGGCAAAGAUUUGGAAUCAGCAACAUCAAGAAACAGAGACAAACUUUUAGUUUCAUGAUCCACACAUCCCUUGG
Molecule: long non-coding RNA, 246 nt
Organism: Arabidopsis thaliana (thale cress)
Lineage: Eukaryota; Viridiplantae; Streptophyta; Magnoliopsida; Brassicales; Brassicaceae
Product: other RNA
Exons: 1
Source: RefSeq